MicroRNA precursor from Nicotiana attenuata, 96 nucleotides. It matches the Rfam family "MIR6152 microRNA precursor family". The record is from Rfam. NCBI's taxonomy places the organism in Eukaryota, Viridiplantae, Streptophyta, Magnoliopsida, Solanales, Solanaceae.
AUGACAGAUUAUUGUAUUCGACUGUAUUCACGGCGUGAAAUAGGAGAUUACAAUGUCUUUAAACGGAAAGUGAACCAAUUAACAUAAUAUACUCCU